This 699-nucleotide long non-coding RNA is filed under the name Gallus gallus (chicken). The record is from RNAcentral. Lineage: Eukaryota; Metazoa; Chordata; Aves; Galliformes; Phasianidae.
UGGAAUACAACUGCAUUUCUUUCAUAAAUUGUCCAAAAAUAAGUGGGGGAAAAAAAAAGAAUUUUUCCAUCAUGAGCAAAAGAAGGGCUUAGCAUAUGGCUUGAGUUUUCCCACUGAUUUCAGCUGCAGUGCACUGAGCCUUUAUUAUAUCCAGAGCUGAAAGCUCACCCCUUGUUCAUCUUUUUGUCUCUUGUGUUGGUGCAGGACAGUGCGCUGUGAAGUGAAGACAUAGAUGGGGACCCAGGUGUUUCUUCCGACUAAAAGCCUCUCUGCUGGAACUUCCUGACUCAUUUCCCUGAUUACAAGACAGCAGGUGUCAAAUACAUCAGAAAAAGAACAAAGGACAUUAUCUAUCCAUACUUAAUUAAAGGCAGAAAUGCACUCAAGCCUGGCUGUCUGAACCAGAAGGUCAUUAAGCAUGGUCAAGGAGUGCUUUGCAGCAAGAUUCUGAAAAAUGGAAAUCUUGAAGCCUUCCAAGAGUUGUUAACACUAAACAGUUCAGAGUUGAGACAGAGUUUUGGGAAGAUUUUCUGAUUCCUGCCUGACAUGGGUUCUCUACGAGCAAACAUUCAGCAAGAACAAAGAGCAAUUUUGCAUGUUGCUGAACAUGCAAAAAAUGACAGUUGUGACAUACGGUUACCUAAGGAGCCCACUCUUCUCUCCUAUGUCUCUACAGUUCUGGAUUGAUGGAUCUGUCCC